CAGCCGCCGCGGGAAUACGUAAGUGGCAAGCGUUGUCCGGAAUUAUUGGGCGUAAAGGGCUCGCAGGCGGUUUCUUAAGUCUGAUGUGAAAGCCCCCGGCUCAACCGGGGAGGGUCAUUGGAAACUGGGAAACUUGAGUGCAGAAGAGGAGAGUGGAAUUCCACGUGUAGCGGUGAAAUGCGUAGAGAUGUGGAGGAACACCAGUGGCGAAGGCGACUCUCUGGUCUGUAACUGACGCUGAGGAGCGAAAGCGUGGGGAGCGAACAGGAUUAGAUACCCGAGUAGUCCCUGUCUCUUAUAC
Molecule: ribosomal RNA, 301 nt
Filed under: uncultured bacterium
Lineage: Bacteria
Description: partial 16S ribosomal RNA
Rfam family: Bacterial small subunit ribosomal RNA
Source: RNAcentral